Molecule: ribosomal RNA, 253 nt
Filed under: uncultured bacterium
Lineage: Bacteria
Description: partial 16S ribosomal RNA
Rfam family: Bacterial small subunit ribosomal RNA
Source: RNAcentral
UACGAACCGUCCAAACGUUAUUCGGAUUCACUGGGCUUAAAGGGUGCGUAGGCGGCCCGGAAAGUUGGGUGUGAAAGCCCUCGGCUUAACCGAGGAAUUGCGCCCAAAACUACCGGGCUUGAGGGAGAUAGAGGUGGGCGGAACUUAGGGUGGGGCGGUGAAAUGCGUUGAUAUCCUAAGGAACACCUGUGGCGAAAGCGGCUCACUGGGUCGCUUCUGACGCUGAGGCACGAAAGCUAGGGGAGCGAACGGG